This is a long non-coding RNA of Quercus robur (English oak), 2690 nucleotides long. RefSeq lists it as uncharacterized. The transcript has 5 exons. Lineage: Eukaryota; Viridiplantae; Streptophyta; Magnoliopsida; Fagales; Fagaceae. The record is from RefSeq and is a predicted model, not a curated record.
CGAAAAUCAUUUCAGCCCUUUUGUUCACCAAACGCUCGCUGACCCUCUACCUCCCAUCAGAUCAGGUCUGAGCUGAUCUAGAUCUUCCAUCGCUGACCUAUAGCCGCCGAGCUCCUUCCCUGACCACUUCACCAUCUCCGCCGCCUCCAUCUCCGGCCUCUACAUCGCCAUUAAGAACAGCCUCGAUGUCGAACCCACAAGCCCUCCAUCUCCGCCUCCAUUGCGCUGACCCUCUUCCUUCAAAACAAAAACAUAAACCCAUCGCCGCCACAACCACCAUCAGAGCCGAACCCACAAGCCCAAACCUCUUCCUCUUCCUCUUCUCCAGAUGGGUUUGUGAUCGAAGAGACAAAUGGGUCAUUGAACCAACCGACAGUGGUGGUUGAAGAAAAGAAGCUGAAUCGGACGGCUGAGCUCGCUACUUCGACUGGUGGAGCUUUGGCACUCGCUGUGCUUUGUAACAAAGCUCACUCACUCUAAACUCUCUCUCUCUCUCUCUCUCUCUCUAAAACCCUCCCUAAACCCUAGCGUCCUCCUCUCUCUCUCUCUUGCUUCCAUGGAGUUUUGGGGUUUUUGGGUAGCCAUUGCAGGCGAGCCAGCCUGUGGUGUCUACUUCUAGAGUUUCCUCCAUUGCAGAGAAAGAGGAAAAUGUAGUAGGCUAGCAUGGGAGAUGAUGCUAAAAGGGCAGAAGUGUUGGUCACCAAAGGAAAAAAAGCCCUUUCUUUAGAGAAAUUCAGUUAUUAAAGGAAAGAAAAUGAGUAGGGAAAUCGUGAACUUUUGAUGCUGUGAACAGGAGGUUGCUGAAAUAUCUGGUAGGAAGGAGGAAAAGGGUGAAGCAAUUGAUGAGGACUGAACCUGGUCUCAAAGUCCAGCAACUAGACAUUCUGCAACAAGCAUUAAAGCUCACUGCAAAUAGAAUAUUAAGAUUGAUAGUAUGGUUCAUAGGGCUACUAAGUGGGGUAGAGCAGUACACACUGAUUCCACUCAGGUAAAUCUAUGCUUAAGUUUCCAUUGCAUCUUUUAAUAUAAUUUUUAUGUUAUCAAAAAGAAAAAAAAAGUUUCCAUUGCAUCUAAAAUUUUUGAAUUUUAUAUUUGAACUCAAUUGUCACAAGAAGCCAAGAAAAGUGUUAUUUAAGCUUGGUCUAUGACAAAAUGGAGUAACGUACUAACAUUUUGAGCUUAUGACUGUUUGUGGGUUUGUAUAGCUAUGAAUUUUUAUCAGUGACGAAAUCUCAAUUAUAUGUAAGGGUAUAUAGUCAAAUUUCGGUGUCUAUUUUGAAUGCUAAUUUAGACCACAAGGAGUUAAAUCCUUUUCUACAUUGUUAAAUCCUUUUCACUGGAAACAAGUUCCAUUUAUAAGAAAAUAAUAAUAACAAUUUCUAAUUCUGCUAUGUUCUCAAUCUCAACCAUCUCAAACAAACAUGGAGCCAACUUUGGUAAAUCUAUACUUGUGAGUUUCCUUUGCAUUUAAAAUUUUUUAGUUAUGAAUUUUUAUCAGUAACAAAGUCUCAAUUAUAUGCGAGGGUUUAUAAUUAGAUUUCAGUGUCUAUUUCAAAUGGUUUAGACCACAAGGAGUGAAAAAUCCUAUUCUAUAAUUAACUUCACAUUUCUUUUGUGGAGUUAAUUUAGUUUGUCAAAUUCGAUUUCUCUAUAUUAUUAACAGGUUCCAUUUAUCAAAAAUAAGAAAAUAAUAAUAAUGAGUUCUAAUUCUACUACUUUUUUUUUUUUUUUGGUUAAAUGCAAAAUAUUGAGCAACUUGUUAAAUGUAGACUAGAGCAAGUUGUGAUAGGGCUUUUCAAUUUCAACAUUCUCAAACAUAUACUGAGCCAACUUAUCAGGUAAAUUUAUACUUUUGAGUUUAUUUUGCCUUUAAGAUUCUAAACUUUAUAUUUGACCUCAUUGUCAAACCAAGCUCUUACAGGGCAUGGAAGUGUCACUUGAGCUUGGUCUAUGAAAAAAUGGAUCAACACAUAGAACCUUACUAACAUUUUAAGCUUAUGAUGACCGUGUGUGUGGGCUUGUAUAGCUAUGAAUUUAAAUUAAUAACGAAGUCUCAAUUAUAUGUGAGGGCUUUUAAUCAUAUUUCAAUCUAGUCCAAGACUCCUUCAUCACCCAUAGCUGAAUACAUAAAAUUUUUGCUUGAUUAACCGAUGCACAUAGAUAGACACAGGUGUUCUCCAAAAGUCCCUAACUUCCAUAACUCUGACGUACUGUAAUAUUUUUCUGAUGAUUCAUCUCUAGUGUAAUAAGAAACAGAUUUUGGCCAUGGCAGCUCAUGAAAUAUCUCAUCUGCUAAAUCAAAAUAAACGAUUGACGGCUUCAUAUAAUGGUUAGCACUCCAAUAAAUUGCCCCAUUGCAUUAUAUAGUCUUUUUGCUAAAUGGAAUGCUGCAGUUAAAAAUAUUGUCCUCAUCCACCAGAAUUGUCCUCCAAGUACAGGUCUUGAGUGAAAAGAUCUCGAUCUGCAAUAUAUCAAUAUCGAAAGUCUGAUAGGGCCUUAAUGUCUUGUGAACAUCAGUGGAAUAAUCAUGGCAAAAGCCAAAACGGUGAAACCGACAAGAAAAUGAAUCAGGUGUUGAUGUUGGACUUGGUAUGUUUUUGUAACUUUUGGUAGAUGGGUUCCAAACCAAAUAUUGGGAUGUACAUAUGUGCACAUUAUAUAAUUCAAUACAUAACAAGCCAUUGCAAGAA